RNAcentral lists this ribosomal RNA (445 nucleotides) under uncultured bacterium. Its description in RNAcentral is "bacterial SSU rRNA". It matches the Rfam family "Bacterial small subunit ribosomal RNA", at positions 330 to 792 of the family's 1533-position model. The record is from RNAcentral.
CCCAGACUCCUACGGGAGGCAGCAGUGGGGAAUAUUGCACAAUGGGGGAAACCCUGAUGCAGCGACGCCGCGUGAGCGAUGAAGUAUUUCGGUAUGUAAAGCUCUAUCAGCAGGGAAGAAGAUGACGGUACCUGACUAAGAAGCCCCGGCUAACUACGUGCCAGCAGCCGCGGUAAUACGUAGGGGGCAAGCGUUAUCCGGAUUUACUGGGUGUAAAGGGAGCGUAGACGGCGAUGCAAGCCAGAUGUGAAAGCCCGGGGCUCAACCGCGGAAUGGCUUUGGAAACUUUUUUGCUGGAGUACCGGAGAGGUAAGCGGAAUUCCUAGUGUAGCGGUGAAAUGCGUAGAUAUUAGGAGGAACACCAGUGGCGAAGGCGGCUUACUGGACGGUAACUGACGUUGAGGCUCGAAAGCGUGGGGAGCAAACAGGAUUAGAUACCCCAGUA